CACAACAAUUUCGCAUUACCUAAAAUUUAUGUUCAAAAAUUUUUCACAUUGCGUUCAUAUGAAAUUUUGUGCCAUUUACGUGUCCAUAGCUGUAUUUUAUUGUAAUUGGGUCUCUCUGUCUCUCUUUGAGGACGCAUUUGUUUUUUCUUGCUGCAUCCAUGUAGACUGUCCUAUUCAGCCGCCUUUGAAUAUAUCCUAACACUCCCCUUUAAUCACAUACCCUUUCUCCAAUCAACAACAAAUAAAAAAGUAUGUAUCUCUCCUUCCGUCAAUAGAUUAUUGCAUAUUUUGAAAAUGUAAUCUGUAGGUGAAUUGAAUACAUUUAAAGCUAGAGUGUUUAGAUAAACGAGUGCUUAGACCAAAGCCAUCAUCUUAAUACUUUUAGUUAUAGAAAAUAAUAAAAUUGUGAAGUAAAUUACAGAAACAAAGCUUUUUUUUCAACAGUUUGUUCUUCCCGGAGAGUAAACACAGGGUGGUAUUCUUUUUAAAUUUUAGCACAAACUGCAUUGACUACAAGAUUUACUACGUUUAAUGCGGGAGUAAAUAAAGAGAAAUACCAAAAACAAAAAAAUAGUUGAAAAUAAGAAGAAGCACUAGCAGGAAAAAAUCUUACGUUAGUUCGAUGUUCUUAUGAAACAAGUCCCCACAGCUCUAAUCUAUUGCAAUGCUUGAAGUUUGGCAAGCGCUUGAUCACAGCUUUGAAUAUGAUUUAAAAAAUUUGCAAAAUAACAUUGGCAACUCUAUACCCUACACUAGCACACAAUUAUACCGUCUCGCCGUUUCUGGUUCGUUGAUCAUCUCGUAGUCGCCAUCGUUACAGACUCGUUUCAGCUGAUUUAUAUGCUUGCAAUGCAAUAAACGUUGCACUUUGCCACCCAAACGAAUCCAAGUGGAUUCCAUCGGCACUCGUCUCGCAUGCACAUGCGACUACUUGCGCGCAGCACACGCCGAAAUUGGGAGUAUGUGUUGGAAUGACUGGAAUGCGGUGUUGUGUGCAAUCGGGCAUUGUGGGCCACAUGGAAUCAUAGAGGAGUACAAAACAAACCAAAAAAAAAAACAAAAAACGAAAAGCAAAACAACAAAAAGUAAUCGGUGACAGAGAUGUCUUGUUAACAGUAUGCGCACUCGCUCUUGGCACACUGCUAUUGUGACUAUUACAUGGUGACAGAUGAACAAGCUACUCAAAGCCGCAACAGACACGGUUGGGGCAAUUUAAGAGCACACAGCUCCAACUAGUUAAUGUCGUUGGUCGGAGGACACAAAUUCUUACUGAAACGUGUACGACGGAAAUGAAGAGAAUUUUUUGUAUUAGUUGACUACUACGAGUAAAAUACAACAUUUGCUUAUCAUCGAUUAUAUUUCUCCACUGCAGCCAUGUUUGUAUGUUUGGCCUCAGUCGCCGCGUAAAUGCAGUAACGCGCUAAAGUUUGAUGUUUGCUUUGCCUUGCCUUUGCCUGCGCUCUGUGUUGUGCAGCAUUGCUUGGGGAAUUUGGGGAGUUGUGUGUAGGCUAGGCUAUGUUUAUUUGCUUAGAUAUACUGUUGUUGUUGUUGCUGUACUUGUGUUUGGCUUCUACUGAUGCUCAGCCACGGUUCGAUUCGACUCGCGCUACGCGUGCAUGUCGUUAAACAAUUCAAUGGGUUGGUUGCCUGCCUGCCUGCGCCAUUGCUGUUGCUCGAAUGCGAGCAAAAUAAAUUCAAAGCACGAAUAACAUAACAUACAUGAAAUAAUGCGAGUAUACAGAAACAGCAACACAAAUCUGCAAGUGCAGAAACAAUGCGUUGGAGAUCUUGGUGAGAAAAUUCAAAAACAUCCAAUUAGUUUGUGUGUGUGUAUGUGUGUGUGAAUGUGUGUUAUCUGGGGCCGUUUUUGUACGGAGAGUCGUUUUUUUUUUUGUUAUUGUAUGUACAUAGAAGGUGUAUUUCAUUUGAGAAGUGGAACAGUGAGAAAUUGGUGGAAGUAGUCGCUUAAGCAAGAGAAGAACUUUGAGGGGGGGAAAUGUGAAAUUUAAACUGCGUGUAGCGGUGGAAAUUGGAUUUUGGUAUAUACAACUUUUUAAAGUGUGAACUAACAGUUAGGAAAAUGCAACCAUACUGUGAGCUAUUUCCUUGAUUGUUUGUGUUGGUAUUAAAAAUUGUGUUGAAAUUUAAUGCGAUUUUAAGUGUCUGUCUUUAAAUUAAUGGUGUGCAAAUCAAACGAUCUGAACUUCAGAAUAUUAUUGCUUGUAAGCUAACCGUAAACGAUUAUAAGUUUUGACACUAAGCUGAUCUGGAGCACUUGAUGGUUAUGUUAAAAGAAUUUCUUAAGGCUGUUAGCUUAUAACACCGGGUACCCUUGAGUCACGCUCAUCUUAUAGUAUGGAUGAUCCAGCGCCUCAACAAAAAUGAGCCGUACGUCGUGCGGAUGGCGCCCCUAGUGUCGCCUCAAGAGGAAGAAAGCAACCGUGUGUUCCCUUAUUAUUAAAGAUUAAAAAUAUAUUGGUAUUUUCAGUAAAGACCAACCGUCUUAGCGCUCCAAUUUGGGGAGAGGUAGGUACAAAUUGUGUCAGAAAGUUUUGCAAAUCAAAAAAUUGGAGCUUUAGUGGGGAUUUUUAAAAGUGUUUAAGGAAUAUCGACGCUUUGGAGUGGAAUAUGUAAUUAUUGUAUUUAGUAGGUCAUGAUUUUGGAAUUAAC
Molecule: long non-coding RNA, 2670 nt
Organism: Anastrepha ludens (Mexican fruit fly)
Lineage: Eukaryota; Metazoa; Arthropoda; Insecta; Diptera; Tephritidae
Exons: 3
Source: RefSeq, a predicted model, not a curated record